RNAcentral lists this ribosomal RNA (247 nucleotides) under uncultured bacterium. RNAcentral's name for it is "partial 16S ribosomal RNA". It matches the Rfam family "Bacterial small subunit ribosomal RNA", at positions 526 to 771 of the family's 1533-position model. The record is from RNAcentral.
CGUAGGGUGCAAGCGUUUAUCCGGAAUUAUUGGGCGUAAAGGGCUCGUAGGCGGUUCGUCGCGUCCGGUGUGAAAGUCCAUCGCUUAACGGUGGAUCCGCGCCGGGUACGGGCGGGCUUGAGUGCGGUAGGGGAGACUGGAAUUCCCGGUGUAACGGUGGAAUGUGUAGAUAUCGGGAAGAACACCAAUGGCGAAGGCAGGUCUCUGGGCCGUCACUGACGCUGAGGAGCGAAAGCGUGGGGAGCGA